CCGCGCAUUACUCUCGCCCCUGCGCGCACGACCUCCCCCUCCUCCUCCUACUCCUCCCGUGCCGUUCGCCGCCGCGUAAAUUCCGGCAGAACUCCGACAGCCGUUAGCCGCCCUUCACCGCGGGAGAAGUCGCGGGAGCCGCUCGCCGCUCGCCGCUGGAGCCACCGCGGGUCGCCGCUAUAGCCGGAGCCGCCGCGGGUCGCCCUUCGCCAUGGUCGCCGCCGGAGCCGCCCCGCCCCUCCCCGGCGCUCCAACCCCAACUCCCCGACGCUCCAUCCUCCCUGCCCCGCUUCUCAUCACCACCGCCGCCCUCCCCGAAGCCCAUCUCUCUCCAGCCUCCCCGCCCGCAUGCAGCCCUCGCACUCGGCACCGCACGGGCCUGGCCCUCUCUCCUCGGAUCCGGCCACCAUGGAGAACCUGACCCGUAGGGCAUACCCUCCUCCUCUGAUGCGUAACACCCAUCACUGCCCCGGCGGCCGGUUGGGAUCCUGUCCGCCAUCAUGAGCAGCUGCUCCGCGUCCGAGUGCACCGACUCGGAGGUAGAGGUUGGGCUGUAGCUUGUGGACGCCAAGGAAGAACGCAAGUUGUUGCCGUCGCCGAAGAUGAAAACUGGUGGGUGAAAAUUUCUGAAGAAAAGUUAUUUGAGUACUCCUGGUGUGCUGCUGGAAUAAACUGAAGAUCGAGAUGGUGGAGGCAGCCAGUGUCGUGGCCGUUUGCUGGGGAGCUUGCCGGCGUUGUGGUGGAGAAGGUUGGUUGCCUCCUCUCCCCACCAAGUCACUUUGGCCCAUAGAUCGAGUUCAUGGUGGAUAAGGAAGGUGUGGUCGAUUUCACCAGGCUGGAUCCGAAGGUCCCGAAGUCCUAUGCCAUGAACCGGCCACGGCGCAUGCGGCCGGAUGCACUUGCUCAACACCUUUCCAUCUCUGUACAAUCAGGUAAAGAUUUCCUCACGUGCCAAAUAUCAUUUUCAGGUUGCCAAAUAGUAGGCUGGGAACUAUAGAAAGUGGAUUGCUGAGUUUGCCAAGCAUAAUAGCACACCUAUUAUCAGAUGACCUGAAGAGUAUAUCAACCAAAGAUGCUUUCAGAUUUAUGCAUGCCUAUAUUAGGUUCCUAUAAACUCCUGUAUUCUUUUCAAUAGAUUGCCACAAUAGCUUCUUUAAGGCACCAGGGAAUCAUCUUUUCUAUAUAUCAGGUAAAUAGCUAUACACCAGUUUCAUGGCAAGUGCCUUGAUGUCUACAUAUAGCACUGUAUGAUACUACUACAUCAAUCGUUAAACUGCCCAUACAAACAUCGCUUAGAGCAGUAGUGUUCUCUGAAUGAAAUUAUUAUCUGUCCCAAAGGGUUCUUGAUAAAACUUAUUCUGAAUUUUAGAUGGUCACACACUGUACAUACAUUGGCAGUGGAAGCUAAUAGAUCGACUGUUGAAUUGCUCAUACAAAUUUCUCUAAGAAUAGUGUUCUCUGAAUGUAAUUGUUAUCCGUCCAACCGAUCUUACAGGAUUACAGUAGGAAUCAAUCCAUAGGUUUGAGUUGAUAUUGGAAGAAGCACAAACAUAACCGGACCCGGCUGAGCCGAAAGGUGUAAAUUUUUGGCCGUCACUUUGUUCAGUUUUCCCUGUACCUGCACUUACUGUCUUCACCUCGAACCUACCUUCAUACUUGCAGGAAUGUAAUAACACUUUGCAUCAGGCUUGUGAGCAACUGUAAGUUGUUUUGCAUGUGAUACUACUUGGGGUAAUGUUUGCUACCGGUCGACCGGCUACAGACUAGGCCGGUCGCGCGAGCAGCAUACGAUCGCUUGCAAUCUCUCGCCUGCGGCUGUGCCACGUCUUCCUCCUUCCCUCCCCACGCGUCCCCUCGUGGGCCCUGCAAACCGCCUCGCAGCGUCUCCCUUAUCGUUCCGCACAGUCAACCCAUCGCAAUGUCUUCCUCCCCCAAAUCAGAGACACACCCUGCGGUGAGCGGCCGCCGUCCACCUGACCCGGACUACUCCAGCAAGUGGCUGCCAUCCACUAGCCCCACACUGCUCUGGCGAUCCGACCGGCCACCCAUCCACCUGCGCGGCUGUGCGGCAACCCAUCUUGUUAUGCCCGCUGCUCGAAGGUGUUACAACUACGCCGCCGUGGUACUUCAGUCAGCGGCGACUGUGCUACAAUGGUGGCGAGCGGGUGGUGGCCAGGGGUGCGCGGCGGCGGUGACCGCGGCUGGCACCGAGUGCUGCAACCGACGAGCAUUUUUGCUGGAACCUGCCGGCGGAGAAGUUGGAAGCGGCAGGGCGAUAAGCUGCAACCAAUAUCGGCGGCGAGUCGAACAUGCUACAACCGGCAGAUCACGAGCUACAACCGACGUUUGUUUUUGCUGGGACCGGUGAGAAUUUUUGCUCCCACCGGCGCACCAUUGUUCGCUGAUUCAUGCCACUGUUUUUUGCUGGAACCAUCCAGCUUUUUUGCUGGAACCAGCGUUGGUAGAUGCUACAUGGGUGAACUGAAGAUGUUUUCACUGUCGUCAAUGGCUAUACGAAGAUGCAGGAGGCGGCGAUGAAGAUGUUUUGACGGUGGAUGGAAAAUGCUACAACCGGCUUCGUAAUUUGGUACGAGCCAUCUGAGGUCGUCGAAGAGAUUUUGUGCCGGAACCGACGAGAGAGCGGGGGAGGAGGUUGGUCGGCGAGCGGCAGAGCUUUGAGCUCUCUGUCGCCUCGCAUGGGUUUGUGGUAUUGGCGGCGCUCGAUCACAGCUUUUUUUGUCUGCGGGAGGAGGACGAAACGAGAGCUAAUCCGACGGCUACCAGGCGUAGAAUCGCGAGGCUCGCGGUUGACCGGCCGAAAUUUUCGGCCGGUUGACCGGCGCCUAUGUAUCGCCUACUAUUUGUGUGAUUUUUUUUACCCACUGUUCAAGAUAUAUUUCGAUAUUCUGAUAAAUCGGCCGAUUUAUCGUUUAUCAGCGUCAGCCUGAUAAAAUAAAUUGGCAGAUAAAUUAGGUGAUAUGGCGAUAAAUCGGCCGAUAUGCCGAUAAACUGGCCGAUCUAUCCCUUAUCAUGGGUUGACCGAUAAGUUACCGAUAAGCGAUAUCCCAAACAUUGUUUUUACCUUAAUAAACUUUCCUUCUUAUUAUAUAUCAUAUGGAAUUCUUCAAACAGAGAAGAGCAACUCAAUGAGUUGGCAUACAUUCAGUCAUCUAUGUUGAUGCAACUCAACUAACAAAGAGUAUUUAAGA
Triticum aestivum (bread wheat) is the source of this 3209-nucleotide long non-coding RNA. RefSeq lists it as uncharacterized. The transcript is spliced from 3 exons. Lineage: Eukaryota; Viridiplantae; Streptophyta; Magnoliopsida; Poales; Poaceae. The record is from RefSeq and is a predicted model, not a curated record.